GACGAACGCUGGCGGCGUGCCUAAUACAUGCAAGUAGAACGCUGAAGGAGGAGCUUGCUUCUCCGGAUGAGUUGCGAACGGGUGAGUAACGCGUAGGUAACCUGCCUGGUAGCGGGGGAUAACUAUUGGAAACGAUAGCUAAUACCGCAUAACAGUAGAUGUUGCAUGACAUUUGCUUAAAAGGUGCAAUUGCAUCACUACCAGCUGGACCUGCGUUGUAUUAGCUAGUUGGUGAGGUAACGGCUCACCAAGGCGACGAUACAUAGCCGACCUGAGAGGGUGAUCGGCCACACUGGGACUGAGACACGGCCCAGACUCCUACGGGAGGCAGCAGUAGGGAAUCUUCGGCAAUGGACGGAAGUCUGACCGAGCAACGCCGCGUGAGUGAAGAAGGGUGUCGGAUCGUAAAGCUCUGUUGUAAGAGAAGAACGAGUGUGAGAGUGGAAAGUUCACACUGUGACGGUAUCUUACCAGAAAGGGACGGCUAACUACGUA
This 495-nucleotide ribosomal RNA is filed under the name uncultured bacterium. RNAcentral's name for it is "partial 16S ribosomal RNA". It matches the Rfam family "Bacterial small subunit ribosomal RNA", at positions 28 to 507 of the family's 1533-position model. The record is from RNAcentral.